UACGAAGGGGGCUAGCGUUAUCCGGAUUUACUGGGUUUAAAGGGUGCGUAGGUGGGUCUGUAAGUCAGUGGUGAAAUCUCCGGGCUUAACCCGGAAACUGCCAUUGAUACUAUAGGUCUUGAAUUAUCUGGAGGUAAGCGGAAUAUGUCAUGUAGCGGUGAAAUGCUUAGAUAUGACAUAGAACACCCAUUGCGAAGGCAGCUUACUACGCAUAUAUUGACGCUGAGGCACGAAAGCGUGGGGAUCAAACAGG
RNAcentral lists this ribosomal RNA (253 nucleotides) under uncultured bacterium. RNAcentral's name for it is "partial 16S ribosomal RNA". It matches the Rfam family "Bacterial small subunit ribosomal RNA", at positions 524 to 776 of the family's 1533-position model. The record is from RNAcentral.